RNAcentral lists this ribosomal RNA (1239 nucleotides) under Proteus mirabilis. Its description in RNAcentral is "partial 23S ribosomal RNA". It matches the Rfam family "Bacterial large subunit ribosomal RNA", at positions 1579 to 2798 of the family's 2925-position model. Lineage: Bacteria; Pseudomonadati; Pseudomonadota; Gammaproteobacteria; Enterobacterales; Morganellaceae. The record is from RNAcentral.
AAGGUGGUGAAGCAAUUGAUGCCCCGCUUCCAGGAAAAGCCUCUAAGCUUCAGGUUACCAACAAUCGUACCCCAAACCGACACAGGUGGUCAGGUAGAGAAUACUCAGGCGCUUGAGAGAACUCGGGUGAAGGAACUAGGCAAAAUGGUGCCGUAACUUCGGGAGAAGGCACGCUGGCGGUAGGUAAAGUCCCUCGCGGACGGCGCUGAAGCCAGUCGAAGAUACCAGCUGGCUGCAACUGUUUAUUAAAAACACAGCACUGUGCAAACACGAAAGUGGACGUAUACGGUGUGACGCCUGCCCGGUGCUGGAAGGUUAAUUGAUGGGGUCAGCCGUAAGGCGAAGCUCCUGAUCGAAGCCCCAGUAAACGGCGGCCGUAACUAUAACGGUCCUAAGGUAGCGAAAUUCCUUGUCGGGUAAGUUCCGACCUGCACGAAUGGCGUAAUGAUGGCCAGGCUGUCUCCACCCGAGACUCAGUGAAAUUGAACUCGCUGUGAAGAUGCAGUGUACCCGCGGCAAGACGGAAAGACCCCGUGAACCUUUACUAUAGCUUGACACUGAACAUUGAGCCUUGAUGUGUAGGAUAGGUGGGAGGCUUUGAAGUGUGGACGCCAGUCUGCAUGGAGCCAACCUUGAAAUACCACCCUUUAACGUUUGAUGUUCUAACCUAGGCCCAUAAACUGGGUCGGGGACCGUGUCUGGUGGGUAGUUUGACUGGGGCGGUCUCCUCCUAAAGAGUAACGGAGGAGCACGAAGGUUGGCUAAGCAUGGUCGGACAUCAUGCGGUUAGUGCAAAGGCAUAAGCCAGCUUGACUGCGAGAGUGACGGCUCGAGCAGGUACGAAAGUAGGUCUUAGUGAUCCGGUGGUUCUGAAUGGAAGGGCCAUCGCUCAACGGAUAAAAGGUACUCCGGGGAUAACAGGCUGAUACCGCCCAAGAGUUCAUAUCGACGGCGGUGUUUGGCACCUCGAUGUCGGCUCAUCACAUCCUGGGGCUGAAGUAGGUCCCAAGGGUAUGGCUGUUCGCCAUUUAAAGUGGUACGCGAGCUGGGUUUAGAACGUCGUGAGACAGUUCGGUCCCUAUCUGCCGUGGGCGUUGGAAGAUUGAGAGGGGUUGCUCCUAGUACGAGAGGACCGGAGUGAACGCACCACUGGUGUUCGGGUUGUCAUGCCAAUGGCAUUGCCCGGUAGCUAAGUGCGGAAGAGAUAACCGCUGAAAGCAUCUAAGCGGGAAACUUGCC